AAAGGGAAGGUGGAGUGGAAGGUGGGGAGAGAGAGAGAAGGAGAAAAUGGAAGAGGGAGAGGAUGUAGAGGAGGAGGAGGAAGAAGAAAAGUGGAGGAGAAGCACAUGGGGCGUGUGCACAUGUGGGAAGCACAUUCCCCGAGCCGUCUCCCCGGCCAGCAUGGACUCCCCAGGAUGUCUGCUCCAAGGACGAAGGUGUAGAAUCACUGCUGUCUUCAUCUUGGACUUGCUGCCCUGGCUCCCUACCGCCUCCAAACAUCUCUCAAAGGAAGGAUCCCUGGGGAAAGGUGUGAGCAAGUGGAACCGAAAGCUGCUGAGGGACAGCUUUGGUCUGCAGUGAGCCAGGCUGCCCUCAGUCUCAUCCCCAGCACACAGUCCUUCUCCGCGUACUGGCCACAGUGUGCAUGCACGCGGGAGACGGCACUCGCUGUCUCAACGCCCUGAGUCCUGCCCUUC
This 456-nucleotide long non-coding RNA is filed under the name Mus pahari (shrew mouse). Its description in RNAcentral is "lncRNA (MGP_PahariEiJ_G0002497.1)". The record is from RNAcentral. Lineage: Eukaryota; Metazoa; Chordata; Mammalia; Rodentia; Muridae.